Melospiza georgiana is the source of this 195-nucleotide long non-coding RNA. RefSeq lists it as uncharacterized. The record is from RefSeq and is a predicted model, not a curated record. The transcript is spliced from 3 exons. Lineage: Eukaryota; Metazoa; Chordata; Aves; Passeriformes; Passerellidae.
UGACCACAGGGUGACCACAGAGUGACCACAGUGGCCACAGGGUGGUCAAUGGUCAGCAGAUGGUCAGCAGAUGGGCAGCAGAAGGUCCAUGGAUGGUCAGCAGGAAGUCCAUGGAUGGUCAGCAGGAGGUCAGUGGCCAGAGGGUGGUCAGCAGAUGGUCAGCAGGGGGUCCAUGGGUGGUCAGCAGGAGGUCAG